Molecule: ribosomal RNA, 3136 nt
Filed under: Salmonella enterica subsp. enterica serovar Typhimurium str. DT104
Lineage: Bacteria; Pseudomonadati; Pseudomonadota; Gammaproteobacteria; Enterobacterales; Enterobacteriaceae
Description: 23S ribosomal RNA
Rfam family: Bacterial large subunit ribosomal RNA (bases 1754-3136)
Source: RNAcentral
UCUGAAGAGCAAGCGCGUCUGCAGAUGCAGCAGCUGCAGCAGAACAACAUCGUUUACUUCGAUCUCGACAAGUACGAUAUCCGUUCUGACUUCGCGGCAAUGCUGGAUGCGCACGCUAACUUCCUGCGUAGCAACCCGUCUUACAAAGUCACCGUAGAAGGUCACGCGGACGAACGCGGUACUCCGGAGUACAACAUCUCCCUGGGUGAGCGUCGUGCUAACGCCGUUAAAAUGUACCUGCAGGGUAAAGGCGUUUCCGCUGACCAGAUCUCCAUCGUUUCUUACGGUAAAGAAAAACCUGCCGUACUGGGCCACGACGAAGCGGCUUACGCUAAGAACCGUCGCGCUGUACUGGUUUACUAAGAGAAUUGCAUGAGCAGUAACUUCAGACAUCACCUGUUGAGUCUGUCGUUACUGGUUGGCAUAGCGGCCCCCUGGGCCGCUUUUGCUCAGGCGCCAAUCAGUAGUGUCGGCUCAGGCUCGGUCGAAGACCGCGUCACUCAACUUGAGCGUAUCUCUAACGCUCACAGCCAGCUUUUAACCCAACUUCAGCAGCAGCUCUCCGAUAAUCAGUCCGAUAUCGAUUCUUUGCGCGGCCAAAUCCAGGAAAAUCAGUAUCAACUGAAUCAGGUGAUGGAGCGCCAGAAGCAAAUUAUGCUGCAGCUGGGGAGCUUAAAUAAUGGCGGCGCAGCGCAGCCAGCAGCUGGUGACCAGAGCGGGGCGGCAACCACUGCGACCCCCGCCCCGGAUGCCGGUACGGCAACCUCAGGGGCGCCGGUACAAAGUGGCGAUGCGAAUACCGAUUACAAUGCGGCAAUUGCGCUGGUGCAGGAUAAGUCUCGCCAGGAUGAUGCGAUUGUGGCGUUUCAGAACUUCAUCAAGAAAUACCCUGAUUCUACUUAUCAGCCGAACGCCAAUUAUUGGCUGGGCCAGUUGAAUUACAACAAGGGUAAAAAAGAUGACGCCGCCUAUUAUUUCGCCUCGGUAGUAAAAAACUAUCCUAAGUCGCCGAAGGCUGCGGACGCGAUGUACAAAGUUGGCGUUAUCAUGCAGGACAAAGGUGAUACGGCAAAAGCGAAAGCAGUUUAUCAGCAGGUGAUUAACAAAUAUCCAGGCACUGAUGGCGCGAAACAGGCGCAGAAGCGUCUUAACGCGAUGUAAUGCGUACCAUGCGACCAGAAAACGCCUUUUUUCUGGUCGCGUCGUGCGAUUCCUAAGCAGUUGAGCCCUCUGCGUCGAAAUUUUUGUUGCGCUCAAAUCUGAAAUCAGUAAUAUAUGCCGCCGUUGCCACGGGAUAUUAAACAACUCGAAAGCAACGCAAAAGUGGGUCGUUAGCUCAGUUGGUAGAGCAGUUGACUUUUAAUCAAUUGGUCGCAGGUUCGAAUCCUGCACGACCCACCAAUCGUUCGGUGGAAACGAGAAUAAAACGUGAAGGAUAACGUUGCGUCAGCAACGGCCUGUAGGGCGAGGCGAAGCCGAGUCAUCCUGCACACCACUAACUUCGGUUAGUCAGUAAUAUCCAGCGUAGUAUCGGGUGAUUAGCUCAGCUGGGAGAGCACCUCCCUUACAAGGAGGGGGUCGGCGGUUCGAUCCCGUCAUCACCCACCACUCGGGUCGUUAGCUCAGUUGGUAGAGCAGUUGACUUUUAAUCAAUUGGUCGCAGGUUCGAAUCCUGCACGACCCACCAAUUUUCUAAUUGGUGCCGAGUAAAAAUAUUUCAGGUAGUCCCACCGUAUGGGUCGUUAGCUCAGUUGGUAGAGCAGUUGACUUUUAAUCAAUUGGUCGCAGGUUCGAAUCCUGCACGACCCACCAAUAUACAAGGUGGUAACUGGUAGAGAACGUGAAGGUUAACGUUGCUUUAGCAACGGCCCGAAGGGCGAGGCGAAGCCGAGUCAUCCUGCACGACCCACCAUCCUGAAUGAUUGAAGCAGUAACCCUUAUCCAAGGGGUCGUUAGCUCAGUUGGUAGAGCAGUUGACUUUUAAUCAAUUGGUCGCAGGUUCGAAUCCUGCACGACCCACCAAUGUAAAAAAGCGCCCUAAAGGCGCUUUUUUGCUAUCUGCGAUAUGGAAGAUUCGAACCUGCCGCAGGUUCGGGUCUCANAAGCGAAGCUCCUGAUCGAAGCCCCGGUAAACGGCGGCCGUAACUAUAACGGUCCUAAGGUAGCGAAAUUCCUUGUCGGGUAAGUUCCGACCUGCACGAAUGGCGUAAUGAUGGCCAGGCUGUCUCCACCCGAGACUCAGUGAAAUUGAACUCGCUGUGAAGAUGCAGUGUACCCGCGGCAAGACGGAAAGACCCCGUGAACCUUUACUAUAGCUUGACACUGAACAUUGAGCCUUGAUGUGUAGGAUAGGUGGGAGGCUUUGAAGUGUGGACGCCAGUCUGCAUGGAGCCGACCUUGAAAUACCACCCUUUAAUGUUUGAUGUUCUAACGUGGACCCGUAAUCCGGGUUGCGGACAGUGUCUGGUGGGUAGUUUGACUGGGGCGGUCUCCUCCUAAAGAGUAACGGAGGAGCACGAAGGUUGGCUAAUCCUGGUCGGACAUCAGGAGGUUAGUGCAAUGGCAUAAGCCAGCUUGACUGCGAGCGUGACGGCGCGAGCAGGUGCGAAAGCAGGUCAUAGUGAUCCGGUGGUUCUGAAUGGAAGGGCCAUCGCUCAACGGAUAAAAGGUACUCCGGGGAUAACAGGCUGAUACCGCCCAAGAGUUCAUAUCGACGGCGGUGUUUGGCACCUCGAUGUCGGCUCAUCACAUCCUGGGGCUGAAGUAGGUCCCAAGGGUAUGGCUGUUCGCCAUUUAAAGUGGUACGCGAGCUGGGUUUAGAACGUCGUGAGACAGUUCGGUCCCUAUCUGCCGUGGGCGCUGGAGAACUGAGGGGGGCUGCUCCUAGUACGAGAGGACCGGAGUGGACGCAUCACUGGUGUUCGGGUUGUCAUGCCAAUGGCACUGCCCGGUAGCUAAAUGCGGAAGAGAUAAGUGCUGAAAGCAUCUAAGCACGAAACUUGCCCCGAGAUGAGUUCUCCCUGAGACUUAGAGUCUCCUGAAGGAACGUUGAAGACGACGACGUUGAUAGGCCGGGUGUGUAAGCGCAGCGAUGCGUUGAGCUAACCGGUACUAAUGAACCGUGAGGCUUAACCUU